GGGAUUGGGGGCGACACGGUGGAGGAAGUGGCUCGUGGCGGCAUGGCAGGUGGUUAAGCAGGGGCUUGAUGACGAGUCCACAAAAUGAGAAAGAUGAGUAGUAUGUGAAAAUCCACCAAUCCAUAAAACGGUUUUACUGUUUCAAGAAGUAUAUAGUACUUGCUUGGAUCCAAACUAAAUGUCGUACUUUUAGUUCAAGUGUUAAUUACCGUAACACCAAGAGUCUUCAAGUGGG
Molecule: long non-coding RNA, 235 nt
Filed under: Hordeum vulgare
Lineage: Eukaryota; Viridiplantae; Streptophyta; Magnoliopsida; Poales; Poaceae
Description: long non-coding RNA (HVUL_LNC005053)
Source: RNAcentral